RNAcentral lists this ribosomal RNA (828 nucleotides) under Pseudomonas aeruginosa. RNAcentral describes it as "bacterial SSU rRNA". It matches the Rfam family "Bacterial small subunit ribosomal RNA", at positions 60 to 883 of the family's 1533-position model. Lineage: Bacteria; Pseudomonadati; Pseudomonadota; Gammaproteobacteria; Pseudomonadales; Pseudomonadaceae. The record is from RNAcentral.
AGUCGAGCGGAUGAGAGGAGAUUGCUCCUGGAUUCAGCGGCGGACGGGUGAGUAAUGCCUAGGAAUCUGCCUGGUAGUGGGGGACAACGUUUCGAAAGGAACGCUAAUACCGCAUACGUCCUACGGGAGAAAGCAGGGGACCUUCGGGCCUUGCGCUAUCAGAUGAGCCUAGGUCGGAUUAGCUAGUUGGUGAGGUAAUGGCUCACCAAGGCGACGAUCCGUAACUGGUCUGAGAGGAUGAUCAGUCACACUGGAACUGAGACACGGUCCAGACUCCUACGGGAGGCAGCAGUGGGGAAUAUUGGACAAUGGGCGAAAGCCUGAUCCAGCCAUGCCGCGUGUGUGAAGAAGGUCUUCGGAUUGUAAAGCACUUUAAGUUGGGAGGAAGGAUUGUAGAUUAAUACUCUGCAAUUUUGACGUUACCGACAGAAUAAGCACCGGCUAACUCUGUGCCAGCAGCCGCGGUAAUACAGAGGGUGCAAGCGUUAAUCGGAAUUACUGGGCGUAAAGCGCGCGUAGGUGGUUUGUUAAGUUGGAUGUGAAAUCCCCGGGCUCAACCUGGGAACUGCAUCCAAAACUGGCAAGCUAGAGUAUGGUAGAGGGUGGUGGAAUUUCCUGUGUAGCGGUGAAAUGCGUANAUAUAGGAAGGAACACCAGUGGCGAAGGCGACCACCUGGACUGAUACUGACACUGANGUGCGAAAGCGUGGGGAGCAAACAGGAUUAGAUACCCUGGUAGUCCACGCCGUANACGAUGUCAACUAGCCGUUGGGAGCCUUGAGCUCUUACUGGCGCAGCUAACGCAUUAAGUUGACCGCCUGGUGAGUAC